Molecule: long non-coding RNA, 453 nt
Organism: Mauremys reevesii (Reeves's turtle)
Lineage: Eukaryota; Metazoa; Chordata; Testudines; Geoemydidae
Exons: 3
Source: RefSeq, a predicted model, not a curated record
CAGCAGAAGGGGGAGUGCUAAUCAAAGCUGUUUGACUGGUUGCAUUUCCUUAAGCUGGGAGAAGGAGGACCUGAACUCUAGCCCUAAAGAUGCUGUCUAUUCAUGAAUGGUCUCAAUCACGCUGGGAAAAUCUUGAGGAUGUACGACAGCACAGCAAGACCACUGAGGCAUUAUGACAAUCAGCAAUAACCAAAGAAUGUCUCCAUAUGUUGUGAAUGCACUUUGGGAAGGAGCACUCUUCUCUUGUGUAAAGAAUGCUAGAUUGCAGACAGUGGGCCAAAUUCUGCUCUCACUUAUACCAGACUAAAUCUAUUACUUUCAAUUAAGUUAUCUUGGAUUCACUCCAGUAUAAGGGAGAAAAGACUGAUUGCCUUCAGACAUGUUCUCUAGUUGUAGUGGCAUAAUGCACAGUACUGCACAUUAUGUUGAAUGUUGACCUACGGGAACCAGAAG